AGCGGUGGAGCAUGUGGUUUAAUUCGAAGCAACGCGAAGAACCUUACCAGGUCUUGACAUCCUUUGACCACUCUAGAGAUAGAGCUUCCCCUUCGGGGGCAAAGUGACAGGUGGUGCAUGGUUGUCGUCAGCUCGUGUCGUGAGAUGUUGGGUUAAGUCCCGCAACGAGCGCAACCCUUAUUGUUAGUUGCCAUCAUUCAGUUGGGCACUCUAGCAAGACUGCCGGUGACAAACCGGAGGAAGGUGGGGAUGACGUCAAAUCAUCAUGCCCCUUAUGACCUGGGCUACACACGUGCUACAAUGGGAAGUACAACGAGUUGCGAAGUCGCGAGGCUAAGCUAAUCUCUUAAAGCUUCUCUCAGUUCGGAUUGCAGGCUGCAACUCGCCUGCAUGAAGCCGGAAUCGCUAGUAAUCGCGGAUCAGCACGCCGCGGUGAAUACGUUCCCGGGCCUUGUACACACCGCCCGUCACACCACGAGAGUUUGUA
This 487-nucleotide ribosomal RNA is filed under the name Enterococcus faecium. RNAcentral describes it as "bacterial SSU rRNA". It matches the Rfam family "Bacterial small subunit ribosomal RNA", at positions 928 to 1416 of the family's 1533-position model. The record is from RNAcentral. Lineage: Bacteria; Bacillati; Bacillota; Bacilli; Lactobacillales; Enterococcaceae.